This 351-nucleotide ribosomal RNA is filed under the name uncultured bacterium. RNAcentral describes it as "bacterial SSU rRNA". It matches the Rfam family "Bacterial small subunit ribosomal RNA", at positions 1 to 334 of the family's 1533-position model. The record is from RNAcentral.
AGUAGACGUUCAGAGUUUGAUCCUGGCUCAGGACGAACGCUGGCGGCGUGCCUAAUACAUGCAAGUCGAGCGGACCGGAUUGGGGCUUGCCUUGGUUCGGUCAGCGGCGGACGGGUGAGUAACACGUGGGCAACCUGCCUGCAAGACCGGGAUAACUCCGGGAAACCGGAGCUAAUACCGGAUAACACCGAAGACCGCAUGGUCUUCGGUUGAAAGGCGGCCUUUGGGCUGUCACUUGCGGAUGGGCCCGCGGCGCAUUAGCUAGUUGGUGAGGUAACGGCUCACCAAGGCGACGAUGCGUAGCCGGCCUGAGAGGGUGACCGGCCACACUGGGACUGAGACACGGCCCAG